GACAGUUCUCGAUGUAACACUCGACCGUCUUCCGGUGUAUACAGCCUGCAGUUUAAAUACAUUCGCAGACGGCGUAAUAUUUGCAAUACAUUAAAAACCCGAAAUCAUUAACAGUAUAGCCAGGCAUUAGUUAGGUUGUUGUUCUUGUUCUGCAUGCUGAGUGAAUGAACUAAUGGAAGGACCGCCGCAGCUACCACCUGAACUUUGGGUUUAUGUGUUUAGCUAUCUUAGCACAGAGGAAAAGCAUACGGUUCGCUCCUGCUGUAGGCACUUGAAAAAGCUUAUCGAUCACCCAUCCCUGUGGAGGGACUACACGGUGGUAAUGUCCGAACUGCGCCGCUACACCUACGGCUUCUGGCACAUGUUAAAUUACCGCAAGCUCACUCGGGUGGCUGUGCGACACCUGCGGCGAAAAGAAUGGCGCCGUCUCGUUAAGUUUCUCCCGUCCCUCACGGCUAUAGUGUUUGUGGAUGGCGGGCGACAGUAUAAAGAGAAAUACAUGGACAACCUUGCCCGAUUUCCUAACCUUCGGGACCUCGGAGUAAGAAACGCGACCUGGGAUGAAGCGUUGCUUGGCCAAAGCCUGACGGAUCACCUUCGAGAGCGACUUACCCACCUUAGCGUGUGCAAUGUGCGGCUGCCCAGCACCGCGGAAUUCAUAAAAACUGUGUCACAGCUGGUCAACCUGCGGUACCUUCUUUUCCACCAACAGAGUGAGGGUUAUGGAUUGGACACGGUGAGGCCUGUGCCCCGCAGCGAUUUUCAUACCAUGAUGCUGAAACUAAAGAAGCUCAACCACCUGUCUUGGGGAAUGAAGGGGGAGCCACCAGAGCCGCUUCCUGACGACUACUUGAGUCCACCGGAUCCAGACCAGCCUGGAGUGUCUUCGUAUGGUGGUCCAGCACUCACCAGCCUGGAGCUUGUGGACUACCCAGAGACCAUCCUUCCUGACAAUGCUCUGAAGAGUCUGACUUCUCUUAGGUCUCUUGCGAUCCGCUAUAGGUACAUCAGAGAAGGUAUUGAGUGUCGACUCAGGUCCUGGCUGAGUCCUCUGCGACAGCUGGAAUCACUCACCAUCAUUGGUGGAAAUUCCCUUGCUACAUAUACAACCACCAUCCCACCCAGUGUGACCAGGCUGACACUGAGAGUAGCUAUAACUCUGAAAGACAUGGACUCCAUUGCACCUAAAGUUCCAGGGCUUGAGCACCUUGACAUAGAGCAGAACCGCUCUAGUGGUAGCCUCUGCAGACGAAUCCCCAUGCUAUUUCCUCAGCUCAAGACUCUUAGGAUACGUGUAACUCACCCCAAAAUCGUGGCCAUUGUCUAGAAUGCACUACUCUACUGGUCCUGCUGAUCUCCGCUCCACUGUACCGCUUUUGGUUUUCCACAGACCAAAUUCUUUCGCCGAGAGCCAGAGAAAGACCUUCUAAGUCUCCACAAACUCCGACACUUGGUGCAGCUUGAGCUACUGGUUGAGCGCUCCUUUAUCCUGAGAGAUUACCUUAAUGGCCACCCCUGGCCCAGCCCCUGUGUGCAGGAGCUUAUCAACGAGCUUCGGGAGCUGUCCGAGAACAGGAUCACAGUCAUCACCACAAUGCGGCAGAGAAACCUUCUACGAGAGUGUGACUGUUUGUGGGAGGGGGACUGAUCUGCUUCAGCUAUGGGAAAGAGAAAAUGGUUUCUUACUUCAUAAAGCACUACAAGAGAGAAGACCAAGUCAAAAAUGUUUAAACAUUACUGGAGUAGUUGCUUUUUUCUGAAGUGAGAUAUUUGGAGUCUAAAUGUAAGCAUUUAUUAACAAUAAAGUGAAACAUGCUAUAAAUUCUUUCAGCCACUGAUUUGAAUUUCAAACUCAAUGCACAAUCACUGUAAUCUACUGUUGCUGGUGAAUCUUCUAUGACUAAUUCUAAAAUCCACAUUACAAGGGGUAAUUCAGCAAAAGUCUUGCAGUAUGUUACAAAAUUAUUGAAUAUUCAAGAAAACAUCCCAAGUGAGAUAUUUAUAUACAUAGUUCAUCUAUGCUUUGAAGCACUCAUUUGAUAGAAAACCAGAACGGUAUUUAUUUGCAAUGUUAUGCUUUAUAUAUACAGUCUGACUAGUUACAUACAUAUAACAUUAACAGUUGGUUGUUCCACAUACAAUGUCUUUUUUGAAAUGACCUGAAAUUGCUACGUUUUCUUUCACUUUUUGAUUACACUUUAUUCCCAUUUAGGUAUAUUUUUAAACUAGACUUAGCCAUUUCUGACAUUUUACUGGAGGCAUUAGAUGAUGGCUUUCAAUUUAAGUUUAAUAAAAGCAACAUGGGUCAUGUAUGCAUGUUUUUAGGUGAAAAUAAUUCACAAUGCCUUUUUAUCAACAAAUAAUUGAACAUUGUGGUCUUUCUCUGAAUUAUACAGUAUGAAAAAGAACAAAAGGUUACCCUUAAUCUUUCAUCUAGGUUUUUAUCUCAGCACAAACAACCUCUCUACCUUACUCCUUGAUGGACCUCUCAUUGUUGCUCACAGCUUGAAAAAAAUCCCACUGUUUAACGUCUUUUCCCUGUUGAUCCUGUCUGCCAAAUUAUGCAGCACACAAUGGACAUGCCAGACAUUUGUGACCAACUUUGGAUUUUACAAGGAAAAAAAA
Molecule: long non-coding RNA, 2625 nt
Organism: Fundulus heteroclitus (mummichog)
Lineage: Eukaryota; Metazoa; Chordata; Actinopteri; Cyprinodontiformes; Fundulidae
Exons: 5
Source: RefSeq, a predicted model, not a curated record